This 382-nucleotide ribosomal RNA is filed under the name Dechloromonas sp. R-28291. RNAcentral's name for it is "bacterial SSU rRNA". It matches the Rfam family "Bacterial small subunit ribosomal RNA", at positions 13 to 397 of the family's 1533-position model. Lineage: Bacteria; Pseudomonadati; Pseudomonadota; Betaproteobacteria; Rhodocyclales; Azonexaceae. The record is from RNAcentral.
UUGAUCCUGGCUCAGAUUGAACGCUGGCGGCAUGCCUUACACAUGCAAGUCGAACGGCAGCACGGACUUCGGUCUGGUGGCGAGUGGCGAACGGGUGAGUAAUGUAUCGGAACGUACCUUUCAGUGGGGGAUAACGUAGCGAAAGUUACGCUAAUACCGCAUAUUCUGUGAGCAGGAAAGCAGGGGAUCGCAAGACCUUGCGCUGAUUGAGCGGCCGAUAUCAGAUUAGCUAGUUGGUGGGGUAAAGGCCUACCAAGGCUACGAUCUGUAGCGGGUCUGAGAGGAUGAUCCGCCACACUGGAACUGAGACACGGUCCAGACUCCUACGGGAGGCAGCAGUGGGGAAUUUUGGACAAUGGGGGCAACCCUGAUCCAGCCAUGC